This 388-nucleotide ribosomal RNA is filed under the name uncultured bacterium. Its description in RNAcentral is "bacterial SSU rRNA". It matches the Rfam family "Bacterial small subunit ribosomal RNA", at positions 28 to 417 of the family's 1533-position model. The record is from RNAcentral.
GACGAACGCUGGCGGUGUGCUUAACACAUGCAAGUCGAGCGGUAAGGCCCUUUCGGGGGUACGACGAGCGGCGAACGGGUGAGUAACACGUGGGUGACCUGCCCUCAGCUCUGGGAUAAGCCUGGGAAACCGGGUCUAAUACUGGAUAUGACUCCAUGACGCAUGUUGUGGGGUGGAAAGCCUUGUGCGGCUGAGGAUGGGCCCGCGGCCUAUCAGCUUGUUGGUGGGGUGAGGCCUACCAAGGCGACGACGGGUAGCCGGCCUGAGAGGGCGACCGGCCACACUGGGACUGAGACACGGCCCAGACUCCUACGGGAGGCAGCAGUGGGGAAUCUUGCGCAAUGGGCGAAAGCCUGACGCAGCGACGCCGCGUGAGGGAUGACGGCCU